This 383-nucleotide long non-coding RNA is filed under the name Vitis vinifera (wine grape). RNAcentral describes it as "long non-coding RNA (VVIN_LNC007906)". The record is from RNAcentral. Lineage: Eukaryota; Viridiplantae; Streptophyta; Magnoliopsida; Vitales; Vitaceae.
AUGAGCCCAUCACUCUCAUUCUCCCCACGUCUCCAUACCCACCUUUGAACCUCACUUUUCUCUCUAAAAAAAUGCAAAACUGGAUGAGGAAGUCGUGUAAGCUGAGUUGGGAUGAAUGCCAGCCGUGAAGGCUAUCCAAGUGCUGGAGCUUCAAGUGAUACAUGCAGACGCCAGCCACGCGCAGCUCCCAUGACGCCAGUGCCGGUGGCGCCGCCUUCAUAGAUGGUAAACCCCGCGUCCUCCAAGCUACUGUCGGCGCUCAUGGCGAGGACCUCCCCGUCACCUCCGGCGUCGCGGGCGAUCCUAGCUCCGGCGGCCAUGGCACCCUUGCUGGGGAGCUCCUUGUUGAAGACAAUGCCCAAGUGGAGCAUUCAGUCUUGAUG